RNAcentral lists this ribosomal RNA (409 nucleotides) under uncultured Actinomycetes bacterium. Its description in RNAcentral is "bacterial SSU rRNA". It matches the Rfam family "Bacterial small subunit ribosomal RNA", at positions 97 to 482 of the family's 1533-position model. Lineage: Bacteria; Bacillati; Actinomycetota; Actinomycetes. The record is from RNAcentral.
GGCGGACGGGUGAGUAAUACAUAGGUAAUCUACCUUCGAGCUUGGGAUAACCCCGCGAAAGUGGGGCUAAUACCGGAUAAGACCACGUAACCAUGUUACGGGGUAAAAGGUGGCUUAUUUUUUAAAUGAGCUAUCACUUGAGGAUGAGCCUGUGGCCUAUCAGCUUGUUGGCGGGGUAAGAGCCCACCAAGGCUAUGACGGGUAACUGGUCUGAGAGGACGACCAGUCACACUGGGACUGAGACACGGCCCAGACUCCUACGGGAGGCAGCAGUGGGGAAUAUUGGGCAAUGGGCGAAAGCCUGACCCAGCGACGCCGCGUGGGCGAUGAAGGCCUUCGGGUUGUAAAGCCCUGUCAUGCGGAAAGAACGACCCUGAGACGCAUACUCUCAGGGAGUGACGGUACCGCA